This 422-nucleotide ribosomal RNA is filed under the name uncultured bacterium. Its description in RNAcentral is "partial 16S ribosomal RNA". It matches the Rfam family "Bacterial small subunit ribosomal RNA", at positions 360 to 774 of the family's 1533-position model. The record is from RNAcentral.
AAUCUUCCACAAUGGGCGAAAGCCUGAUGGAGCAACGCCGCGUGAGGGAAGAAGGUUUUCGGAUCGUAACACUCUGUUGUAAGGGAAGAACAAGUACAGUAGUAACUGGCUGUACCUUGACCGGACCUUAUUAGAAAGCCACGGCUAACUACGUGCCAGCAGCCGCGGUAAUACGUAGGUGGCAAGAGUUGGCCGGAAUUAUUGGGCGUAAAGCGAGCGCAGGCGGUCAUUUAAGUCUGAUGGGAAAGCCCACGGCUCAACCGUGGAGGGUCAUUGGAAACUGGGGGACUUGAGUGCAGAAGAGGAAAGUGGAAUUCCAAGUGUAGCGGUGAAAUGCGUAGAGAUUUGGAGGAACACCAGUGGCGAAGGCGACUUUCUGGUCUGUAACUGACGCUGAGGCGCGAAAGCGUGGGGAUCAAACA